Molecule: ribosomal RNA, 532 nt
Filed under: uncultured bacterium
Lineage: Bacteria
Description: bacterial SSU rRNA
Rfam family: Bacterial small subunit ribosomal RNA
Source: RNAcentral
AGAGUUUGAUCCUGGCUCAGGACGAACGCUGGCGGCGCGCUUAACACAUGCAAGUCGAGCGAGAACCAUGCCUUCGGGCAUGGGGACAGCGGCGAACGGGUGAGUAACACGUGGGUAAUCUGCCCUUGACAUCGGGAUAGCCCGGGGAAACCCGGAUUAAUACCGAAUAGCCUCCGAAGCCCUCGGGCGUCGGAGAAAAGGUAGCUUCGGCCUCUGGUCAAGGAUGAGCCCGCGGCGGAUUAGCUUGUUGGCGGGGUAACGGCCCACCAAGGCGACGAUCCGUAGCUGGUCUGAGAGGACGAUCAGCCACACUGGGACUGAGACACGGCCCAGACUCCUACGGGAGGCAGCAGUGGGGAAUCUUGCGCAAAUGCGGGAAACCGUGACGCAGCGACGCCGCGUGGGGGAAGAAGGCCUUCGGGUUGUAAACCUCUUUCAGGAGGGACGAAGCUACUCGGGUUAAUAGCCCAGAGGGUGAUGGUACCUCCAGAAGAAGCCCCGGCUAACUACGUGCCAGCCGCCGCGGUAAUUC